GAACGAACGCUGGCGGCAUGCCUACCCCAUGCAAGUCGAACGAGACCUUCGGGUCUCGUGGCGCACGGGUGCGUAACGCGUGGGAACCUGCCCUUAGGUUCGGAAUAACUCCCCGAAAGGGGUGCUAAUACCGGAUAAUGUCUUCGGACCAAAGAUUUAUCGCCUUUGGAUGGGCCCGCGUUGGAUUAGCUAGUUGGUAGGGUAAAAGCCUACCAAGGCGACGAUCCAUAGCUGGUCUGAGAGGAUGAUCAGCCACACUGGGACUGAGACACGGCCCAGACUCCUACGGGAGGCAGCAGUGGGGAAUAUUGGACAAUGGGCGAAAGCCUGAUCCAGCAAUGCCGCGUGAGUGAUGAAGGCCUUAGGGUUGUAAAGCUCUUUUACCCGGGAUGAUAAUGACAGUACCGGGAGAAUAAGCUCCGGCUAACUCCGUG
RNAcentral lists this ribosomal RNA (434 nucleotides) under uncultured bacterium. Its description in RNAcentral is "partial 16S ribosomal RNA". It matches the Rfam family "Bacterial small subunit ribosomal RNA", at positions 27 to 507 of the family's 1533-position model. The record is from RNAcentral.